GAUGAAGAACGUAGCGAAAUGCGAUAAGUAAUGUGAAUUGCAGAAUUCAGUGAAUCAUCGAAUCUUUGAACGCACCUUGCGCUCCUUGGUGUUCCAAAGAGCAUGCCUGUUUGAGUAUCAUUAAAUUAUCAACUGUACCAAUUUGGUUGCAGAUUGGAUGUGGGAGAUUUUGCAGGCUUUUGAUUUCUCUUUGAGAAAACGGUCAGCUCUCCUGAAAUAUAUUAGCAGUGCCUUUGUUGGUUCAUUAGGUGUGAUAAUUUAUCUACAUCUUCACAUGGUACCUUCAUUUGUGUAAAGGUCAUAUUGCUUCUAAUUGUCUUUGGACAUAAAAAAAAAAAAACAUAUAAUUGUAUGGAAAACUUGAUCUCAAAUCAGGCAGGACUACCCGCUGAACUUAAGCAUAUCAAUAAGCGGAGGA
RNAcentral lists this unclassified non-coding RNA (418 nucleotides) under soil metagenome. RNAcentral describes it as "partial contains 5.8S ribosomal RNA, internal transcribed spacer 2, and large subunit ribosomal RNA". The stretch from base 1 to 120 matches the Rfam family "5.8S ribosomal RNA", at positions 35 to 154 of the family's 154-position model. The record is from RNAcentral.